Long non-coding RNA from Carcharodon carcharias (great white shark), 1957 nucleotides. RefSeq lists it as uncharacterized. Lineage: Eukaryota; Metazoa; Chordata; Chondrichthyes; Lamniformes; Lamnidae. The transcript is spliced from 2 exons. The record is from RefSeq and is a predicted model, not a curated record.
UCGGGCAGGCCGCUGGGUAAGGCCCGCCCACUCAAAAUGGCGGCGGGGCCUGUUUUAGUGGCAGAGGUGGGCUGCCCACCCGCCCAUCAAGGGCAAAUUUCGGCCCCAUGUGUUGAGGUGACUCAUUCUGUUGUGUGGAUAUUUUGUCUGGAUUGUAUUUAAGGGAUUGCUGCAUUUUUGGACGUAUGAUUGUUUGCAUGAGAUAUAUUCGGAUCCUGUUUAGUUUCUUCUGCUGGUUCAGAUGGACGUUAAAAUUCCCUUGGCAAAAACAAGGAGCUCUUCCCACAUCCUGAGUAACACUGAUCGCCCACCAACACCAUCAAAACAAACUCAUCCCUUCAUUCAUAGUAGAAUUUUACUGUGCAUGAGGUGGUUGCCAUAUUUGCCUACAUAACAUCAGUAACUGAACUUCAAACAAAUCCAAGGCAUGUGAAGCACUGUGGAAUAUUUUUGAGACAUCAUACAGCAUAUAUUAUUGCAAAUCGCUCCUUCUUAGCAAUAUUUGCCUUGUCUUUAAUGGGGCUAAAAUCAGAGGUACACUCAAAACGUGUACAUUCUAUACUUAGAAGCUUUUUUAAAGAUAUUUUAGCACUGUCAUUCUGGACUGGCAUAAGCAAUGGGAUAAAACUCCAUCUACUUUGCCUUGCUCAUAAUAACAGACCUAUAUCCCAAAUGUAUCAAUGAGGUAUUUUCAUUUCUAGUGACAACUCUCCUUUGAGGCAACUCAAAUAUACUUGCCAAUUUAGUUCUAAUUUUGCCUCAUAAGAUUUGCGCUAGCUGCCAGAAUUGAGACUACCUAAACUGGAAGAUAGUAAAGACUCCAAUCCAUUUCUACUAGGGCCAAGACAUGAAAAAACAUUUGCUCCCACUACACUACUUAGUUCCUACAUUUAUAGAAAACUAACAAAUUUAUGUUGAUCAUGAGGAAGGUGCAUGGAAGAGCAGUUGUAAUUAAUUAUUUCUGUUUCAAACAACUUGUGUAGUUUCUCAGCAACAAGCCCAAUGUUCUCCGUCCGCAUGUUAAGCAAGGCAAAGUAAUAUUACACAAGGUGAAUGGAAUGGGAGAGAUGCAAAUAUCCCUUCAGACAUGAUAUAAUUAAAUACAUUUAUCUUUAGCCAACUGGUUGACAUGAUGUGUCAAGUGUAUUAGCAUAGUUGGUGGUGCAUAGUGGUCACUCUGCUUGGCACCUGUUGCUUUCAGCUCUUAUCACUGGCUAGAAGUAUAACUGUUGUAAAAAAAAAAGAGCUGAGUACAUAAGCCUCUCCCACCAGUGCACUGCAAGCCCUAUGUACUGCCUUCUUGUGGCAACAUACAUAAACUAGGUACCUCACCGACCCAGGCUAAACUACAGGCACCUCAGAGGAGUGUCAUGAAGCUACUAAUGUAUACAAUAUAAUUGGAAAAUAUUUUUCUCUUAAAAUUGAGGCUUAGUCUGUGGGUGUGCCUUAAUUGGAUUAAAGCCAGCUAGUCUAGGUACUAGUUUUGAUGUGUAAGCGUGUAUUUGCAUUUUUGAAUAUAGCAUUCAAGAAGUGGAGUGAAAACUGACAAUAUAUCUCGCAGAUACCAAGCAAUAUGUUUAUAUUACUAAUAAAACUGAUACAAUGAAAGGAGUUUUAUUAUUAGAAGAGACUGGUGAUACAAUGAGAACUUACAUUUAAUGGGCGGUGCUAAGUAUAACUCCAGGAGUUUUGUGUGUGCAGGGCAGAGGCAAUGUGAGAUCAAAAGGCAGCUGUAAGCCUCCAACUGUCUCCACAGGAGCCAAAGUGAAAAGGACCUCAUUUUGAAUUUGUAAGGUGAAAAUGCUUUGCCUGGUGUCUGGUUAAGUCUAUGUAUUGCUGUUGCCUUAAUGGAGAUUAGUUUGGGAAUUUGUUAAAAGUUAUGAUAGUAGUAAUUUGAAGCCAUGUGUAUAUAUAUUGUAACCUGUGUAAAUUAAUAAAAUGUUUCAUUUAGUUUAAU